UCAAAGCAUGUGCUGAGUUUAGGUGGUCUGCUCCUAGAGCUUCUCUCAGAAGCCCUAGGUUUGAAUUCUAAGAUCCUUAAGAGCAAGGAUUGCUUAAAGUCUUUGCUCAUGCUCGGGCAUUAUUACCCUCCGUGUCCACAACCAGACCUAACUUUAGGGGCAAAUAAACACUCAGACAACUCUUUCCUCACGGUUUUGCUUCAAGAUGACAACAUUGGUGGUCUUCAAGUUCUUCAUCAAGACUCUUGGGUUGAUGUCGCUCCUCUUCCUGGAGCUCUCGUCAUUAACAUCGGGGAUUACUUGCAGGUAAAAAAUAAGAAUCUGAAACAGAUAUGUAAAUACCUUAAAUCUUAAUGCGUUUUGUUUAUAUAUGUUGAAUUUGAAUUUGCAGCUGAUGACGAACGAUAAGUUUGUAAGUUUGGAGCAUAGGGUGCUUGCGAAUAGACAAGGACCAAGGAUUUCGAUAGCAAUCUUUUUCACCUCAAGUAAACGUCCAAAUCCCAACGUUUAUGGACCAAUGAAAGAGCUUGUGUCUGAAGACAACCCUCCUAAAUACAGAGACAUGACCAUACAAGAAUUACACAGAAGGAUACUUUAAGAAAGGUCUCGAUGGAACAUCGCAUCUCUUGAAUUUCAGGAUAUAAAAUUUGUGUGUUUCUUAGCAUCAAUUUAGUCUGUUCUUGGCUCUGCAAUAACUAAACCUACGUACCAAAACUAUAUCUAUAUCUCUCAUAUAUACAAAGAAUAUAUAGAAAGAAUAGCGUGUGAAAAAAAAAAAAAAAAGAAGAAAGAAUAGCGUGUGUGCAUGCGUUCAUAUGUAUUAAUGUAUAUGUGUUGAGCUACUCUGUAUUUGGAUCUCUUACAAUGUUAUAAAUCUAAGAAUUCUCUCCUCAAUUUCAGCACUCAAAUUAACGGUAGUUAAAGUGAAAUCUAGGGCUAUAUGCAUGAUUAAGUAAUUAGUCCAUAAUAAAACAAAAGCAGAGAAGAAAAAGUUAAUUACGACAAGUCGUUAAAGUGAGAGUGAGAGAAAGAGAGAGACAACAUUCAUGUGAUCAUCAGUUACAAAGUCUACAAAUUCAGUCCCACACACCAAAGACUAAAACUCCUACCGUCGAUUCUUAGUCGUCCAUUUUUGUCUUCACUUUGCUAUUUCUUCUUCUAAGUAGAAAUCUUGUGAAAAAGAAAGCAUAAAGAAUGGGGACCAAAAUCUCGAUCGAGUUCGAUCCUUAUAUCGAACGAAAGGCUUUCGACGAGACAAAAGUAGGAGUAAAAGGACUCUGUUUUACUUGAACAGAGAGUGAUUUGAUUUCGAACAUCAUUGAUCGACUCAGGGAUGCUAUCAUGCUAAUAUGCUAUGAUCGAAUGCUCAAAGCAUGUGAUGAGUUUAGGAUGUUUGCUCUUUGAGCUUCUCUCAGAAGCACUAGGUUCGAAAUCUGAUAUACUUAAGAGCAUGGAUUGCUUGAAGACUUUGGUUAUGAUCUGCCAUAAUUACCCACCGUGUCCACAAUCAGACCUAACUUUGGGGAUAAGUAAACACUCAGACAGCUCUUUCCUCACGGUUCUUCUUCAAGACAACAUCGGUGGUCUUCAAAUUCUUCAUCAAGACUCUUUGGUCUGAAGAAAACUGGCUAUGCAAAAAGUAAACCAAUGAAUCAAAAAUAAGAAAGCAUAGUCUAUUUCUGUGUGUAUGUGUUGAGCUACUCGGUGUUUGGGUCUUUUUUACUUUAGCCAUACGUAUCAGUCUAUAAGUGAAUGCUUUGAAUUAAUUUGAUCUAAAGAUUCAAAACUUUAUUUAAUCCAUACAUGGACGGUACCGUUAUGGUUCGGAAUGGUUGACCAAGUCCAAACUGUCGUUAAAAUGUUGAACAAUGAGUUGACAUAAAAAAAAAUCUCGUUCCACACAAAAUGGUAGAUGUAACUAUGUAAGUAGUCUAAAAACACUCGUAAUGAAAUGAUCUCUUCAAUUCCAGUAACCAAAUUUCCGGUAAUUAAAGCUUAAUCUUGCAUAAUUGAAAUUUCACCAAUAGUUUUAUGGAGUAUUUCAUAUUUAAAAAACCUUAUGUUUCGUAUCAUGCAAAUUAAACCACAGACGCUCUCAGGGUUGAUUUUCUGAUGGAGACCGAAACACACUGUGUCACUAACCUAUAAACGACAUGGUGCCUUCUACACAUAAAUCUCGAGAAAAGGCUGCAACAAAAAAAGGAAAAAAAAAAAAAACUGGUAGAAAUUUCACCUAAAAUAUCCCAAGGAAAAAAAAGGUAUUCCAAAACCCAAAAUUUUAAAUACACCUCAUUUUUCGGGGUUUUUGGUUGAAAUCUCAAACUUCCAGGUUUUUUUUCGCAAAUUUUCCCACCACACACUAAUGACCUAACUUCAACCGGCGGUUCUCAAUCUUUCCUUUAUUAUCCUCAUUUUGCUUUAUCUUCUUCAAAGCCGAGAUCUUGUAAGAAGAAAAAAAGAACAAAAAAAAAGAUGACCAAAAACUCGAACGAACUCGAUCCUUAUAUCGAGCGCAAAGCUUUCGACGAGACAAAAGGAGGAGUAAAAGGCCUCGUCGACGCUAAAAUCACUGAAGUUCCUCGAAUCUUCCACAUACCUCAAGAUACCUUAACAGACAAGAAACCAUCUGCCUCUGUAUUAGACCUAGAGAUCCCUACCAUCGACUUUGCAAGCGUUCACGUGGACACGGCAUCACGUGAAGCCGUCGUAGAGAAAGUCAAAUACGCGGCGGAGAAGUGGGGAUUCUUCCAGGUGGUCAAUCAUGGUGUUCCUUUAAACGUUCUUGAAGAGAUCAAAGAUGGAGUUCGCAGGUUUCACGAGGAAGAUCCUGAGGUCAAGAAACGAUACUUCUCGCGUGAUAUCGCCAAUAAAAAUUUUGUCUACAACAGUAAUUUCGAUCUAUACAGUCCUUCGCCGUCUGUUAACUGGAGAGAUACUUUCCAGUGUUACAUAGCUCCAGAUCCUCCAACUCCUGAGGAACUCCCAGUGACUUGCAGGUGACGGUAACAUACUUAACAUCUUUUUCUUCACUUAAAUAUAUUUGGAGGUCGCAAUUCACAAACCUAAUCAUCAAUCAGAGCUGCAAACUGCAAUGGCCAUAUAAAUUUCUUAGAGGCUAAGAAGGAUAUGCAUAAGUUUGUAAAGUAUUAUCAAUCGAUUUGAACGUCUAAACUUUGAAAAGAGAGUGAUUGAUUUCUAACAUCAUUGAUUGACUCAGGGAUGCUAUGUUCGAAUACUCAAAGCAUGUGCUGAGUUUAGGUGGUCUGCUCUUAGAGCUUCUCUCAGAAGCCCUAGGUUUGAAUUCUGAGAUCCUUAAGAGCAUGGAUUGCUUAAAGAAUUUGCUCAUGGUCUGCCAUUAUUACCCUCCGUGUCCACAACCAGACCUAACUUUGGGGAUAAGUAAACACUCAGACACCUCUUUCCUCACGGUUCUUCUUCAAGACAACAUCGGUGGUCUUCAAGUUCUUCAUCAAGACUCUUGGGUAGAUGUCGCUCCUCUUCCUGGAGCUCUCAUCAUCAACAUCGGAGAUUUCUUGCAG
This 3539-nucleotide long non-coding RNA is filed under the name Eutrema salsugineum. Its description in RNAcentral is "long non-coding RNA (ESAL_LNC001147)". The record is from RNAcentral. Lineage: Eukaryota; Viridiplantae; Streptophyta; Magnoliopsida; Brassicales; Brassicaceae.